This 434-nucleotide ribosomal RNA is filed under the name uncultured microorganism. RNAcentral describes it as "bacterial SSU rRNA". It matches the Rfam family "Bacterial small subunit ribosomal RNA", at positions 9 to 444 of the family's 1533-position model. The record is from RNAcentral.
GAGUUUGAUCGUGGCUCAGAUUGAACGCUGGCGGCAGGCCUAACACAUGCAAGUCGAGCGGAUGAAGGGAGCUUGCUCCUGGAUUCAGCGGCGGACGGGUGAGUAAUGCCUAGGAAUCUGCCUGGUAGUGGGGGAUAACGUCCGGAAACGGGCGCUAAUACCGCAUACGUCCUGAGGGAGAAAGUGGGGGAUCUUCGGACCUCACGCUAUCAGAUGAGCCUAGGUCGGAUUAGCUAGUUGGUGGGGUAAAGGCCUACCAAGGCGACGAUCCGUAACUGGUCUGAGAGGAUGAUCAGUCACACUGGAACUGAGACACGGUCCAGACUCCUACGGGAGGCAGCAGUGGGGAAUAGUUGGACAAUGGGCGAAAGCCUGAUCCAGCCAUGCCGCGUGUGUGAAGAAGGUCUUCGGAUUGUAAAGCACUUUAAGUUGGG